This 413-nucleotide unclassified non-coding RNA is filed under the name soil metagenome. RNAcentral describes it as "partial contains 5.8S ribosomal RNA, internal transcribed spacer 2, and large subunit ribosomal RNA". The stretch from base 1 to 120 matches the Rfam family "5.8S ribosomal RNA", at positions 35 to 154 of the family's 154-position model. The record is from RNAcentral.
GAUGAAGAACGUAGCGAAAUGCGAUAAGUAAUGUGAAUUGCAGAAUUCAGUGAAUCAUCGAAUCUUUGAACGCACCUUGCGCUCUUUGGUAUUCCGAAGAGCAUGCCUGUUUGAGUGUCAUGAAAGUAUCAACCUUGACUUGGGUUUUGUGCUCUAGUCUCGGCUUGGAAUUGGGUGCUUGCCGCUUUUACGAGCGGCUCACCUUAAAUGUAUUAGCUGGAUCUGUCUUUGAGACUUGGUUUGACUUGGCGUAAUAAGUAUUUCGCUAAGGACAUUCUUCGGAGUGGCCUCGUUUCUAGGACGCUUGUCCGCUUUCCAAUACAAGUUCCACCUCGUGGACAUGACUUUUUAUUAUCUGGCCUCAAAUCAGGUAGGACUACCCGCUGAACUUAAGCAUAUCAAUAAGCGGAGGA